Molecule: long non-coding RNA, 774 nt
Filed under: Citrus x clementina
Lineage: Eukaryota; Viridiplantae; Streptophyta; Magnoliopsida; Sapindales; Rutaceae
Description: Citrus clementina (C. clementina) long non-coding RNA (CCLE_LNC003614)
Source: RNAcentral
CAUUAAAUUGAAUUAAAUUAAAAAAAAUGGUAGAAAAUGGAGAGGAUUCACUCCCACCUCCCCCAAUGAGAGUCCCACUCCAACUACCCACUCCAAAAAUAGGUGGGGCCCACAGAAUGGGAUUCCUAAUCCUUCCCCAAUUUAGUGAAGUAAACACUGGAGUGGGAGGAAUACGCACUCCUCACUUCCACUUUAGAAAGUAAACACAACAAUAGUAUAUUUAUUUUCCGGAUUAGAGAAUCAGAAGUUAGAAUUGGAAUAAUUGACAGCGUUUACUUCGCAAAUAUGGAGCAGGAAUCGGAAUUAAAAUAAUGAGAUCCACUACUAUUUGGGAAUAGAAAAUGAGAGAUUGAUUUCCAUAGAGAAUGUGAGAAUGAGUCUCUCAUUAUCAGAAUGAGCAGUGCUACGGUCAGUCGCCCAAUCGGACGACUGACUCACUCGCUCUUUGUGAGUUGGAUAUGUGUCCAUUAGUCUUUCUUUCUUUAAAUCACAAUAAAUAACUAUUGUCUCGUUGUUAAUAAAAUAUUUAGUUAUACUGUUUACCCACCUUACUUCUUCAUUUUUUAUUUCGCUUAAUUGCCCUUGGUUUCUCCGUACAGACCAUAUACCAGAUUCCACCUACUUCCACUUUCAAAAGCACAAAAGUUGCAGGGGCAUUUUUAGAUGAAAAUUUUAUUUUGAAAUUAUCAUCUCAACAGCCGCCAUCAAGAAAUUGUUUGGAGAAGCCACAAGCCUUUUUAGGUAAUGCCUUUUACCUUUCCUUUAUAAAAUGUG